UCUUUGUAUUCAAGUAACCAGCAUCAGCAGCAAAAGAACUCGGCUCACAUGUCAGCUACUGCACUUUUGCAAAAAGCAGCCCAAAUGGGAUCUACAAAGAGCAACCCAGCAUUCAGUACCGGCAAUGGGAUUUCAUUGAUGAGCUCACCAUCUCUCUCAAAUGCGACAAGCUUCAACACUUAUGACCAAAGCAAAAGUAAAGAAACCCUCAAGUUUCUGAGCAGGCAACCAAAUCAAGCUG
RNAcentral lists this unclassified non-coding RNA (241 nucleotides) under Hevea brasiliensis (rubber tree). Lineage: Eukaryota; Viridiplantae; Streptophyta; Magnoliopsida; Malpighiales; Euphorbiaceae. The record is from RNAcentral.